UUUUAACAUUUUAAUCCUUAUAAAAAUGUGAAGAUGAAGUUGAAAGUUGAAUGUUAUGACUUUUUUGUUUGUUUGUUUUUUUAAUAUUUAUUUUUUAGUUUUCGGCAGACACAACAUCUUUAUUUGUAUGUGGUGCUGAGGAUUGAACCCAGGCCGCACGCAUGCCAGGCGAGCGCGCUACCACUUGAGCCACAUCCCCAGCCCUGUUUGUUUGUUUUUGUACUGGGGAUUUAACCCAGGGACACUUUACCACUGAGCUAUAUCCCCAACCCGUUUUAUUUUUUAUGACUUUUGGCCCCAGAUAAAAUUUAAUAUUGGUUGAAUGUACUGAAUUUUUGUCUUUAGGAUAACAUUCAGAAUAUGGCUUAUCAGAGUUAGUUUUCUUCUGGUUUAAAACAUUGUUUGAUCUAAAAAGCAUCCCUUAAAUCUCGAGUGGUGGCAGGCAGACAUUCAUAGUCAGGUAAUACAGUUUGUUGAGUCAAGUUGGCAGUUGUGAAGGACUCAAUUUGGUUUGUUAAGAGAUGCCCCAAGCUGGGAGUGGUGGCUCACGCCUGUUAUUCCAGCAGCUCAGGAGACUAGGCAGGAGGAUCUCAAGUUCAAAGCCAGCUUCAGCAAUUUAGCAAGGUCCUAUCUCUAAUGAAAUAUAAAAAGGGGUUGGGGAUGUGGUUCAGUGGUUAAGUGCCCCUAGGUUCAAUUCCUGGUACCAAAAAAAAAAAAAAAAGCUCAAACCUGAUAGAAAAGAAUUCCAGAAUAUUUCUAUAUGACAAUAGCAAUAGAUUUUGCUAUAAUGGGAUUUAGAAUGUCUUUGGAUGCUGUUAAAGUUCUUUUGAAAUUAACCUACCAUCCCUAUUAAUAACAUCAUUGUGGGUGGCUUAAUACUUUUUGUCGAAGGGUUUGAGAACCUCAUGAAGUAAAAUUUUGUUCCCU
This 927-nucleotide long non-coding RNA is filed under the name Marmota monax (woodchuck). Lineage: Eukaryota; Metazoa; Chordata; Mammalia; Rodentia; Sciuridae. The record is from RNAcentral.